CGCUGGCGGACGUGCCUAACACAUGCAAGUCGAGCGGGGACAUACGACGGAACCAAAGUUUUCGGAUGGAGGUGAAGAUGUAUGUUCUAGCGGCGGACGGUGAGUAACGCGUGAGCAACCUGUCCCUUACAGGGGGAUAACACAGCGAAAGUUGUACUAAUACCGCAUGAGACCACGGGGAGACAUCUUUCUGAGGUCAAAGGAGCAAUCCGGUAAGGGGUGGGCUCGCGUCCGAUUAGAUAGUUGGUGAGGUAACGGCCCACCAAGUCGACGAUCGGUAGCCGACCUGAGAGGGUGAUCGGCCACAUUGGGACUGAGACACGGCCCAAACUCCUACGGGAGGCAGCAGUGGGGAAUAUUGGGCAAUGGGGGGAACCCUGACCCAGCAACGCCGCGUGAGGGAAGAAGGUUUUCGGAUCGUAAACCUCUGUCCUUGGUGAAGAGGAAGAGACGGUAGCCAAGGAGGAAGCCCCGGCUAACUACGUGCCAGCAGCUGC
Molecule: ribosomal RNA, 497 nt
Filed under: uncultured bacterium
Lineage: Bacteria
Description: bacterial SSU rRNA
Rfam family: Bacterial small subunit ribosomal RNA
Source: RNAcentral